This 823-nucleotide ribosomal RNA is filed under the name uncultured cyanobacterium. RNAcentral describes it as "bacterial SSU rRNA". It matches the Rfam family "Bacterial small subunit ribosomal RNA", at positions 611 to 1436 of the family's 1533-position model. The record is from RNAcentral. Lineage: Bacteria; Bacillati; Cyanobacteriota.
AACUCCAUAUCGGCGGUGGAAACUGAUGAACUAGAGGGUGGUAGGGGUCACGGGAAUUCCCAGUGUAGCGGUGAAAUGCGUAGAUAUUGGGAAGAACACCAGCGGCGAAAGCGCGUGACUGGGCCAUUACUGACACUCAUGGACGAAAGCUAGGGGAGCGAAAGGGAUUAGAUACCCCUGUAGUCCUAGCCGUAAACGAUGGACACUAGGUGUUGCCCGAUCGACCCGGGCAGUGCCGUAGCUAACGCGUUAAGUGUCCCGCCUGGGGAGUACGCACGCAAGUGUGAAACUCAAAGGAAUUGACGGGGGCCCGCACAAGCGGUGGAGUAUGUGGUUUAAUUCGAUGCAACGCGAAGAACCUUACCAGGGCUGGACAUGUCGCGAAUCCCCUUGAAAGGGGGGAGUGCCUUCGGGAGCGCGAGCACAGGUGGUGCAUGGCUGUCGUCAGCUCGUGUCGUGAGAUGUUGGGUUAAGUCCCGCAACGAGCGCAACCCACGUUUCUAGUUGCCAGCAUUCAGUUGGGCACUCUAGAGAGACUGCCGGUGACAAACCGGAGGAAGGUGUGGAUGACGUCAAGUCAGCAUGCCCCUUACGUCCUGGGCUACACACGUACUACAAUGCUUCGGACAGAGGGUUGCCAGCCCGCGAGGGUGCGCUAAUCCCGUAAACCGAGGCUCAGUUCAGAUUGCAGGCUGCAACUCGCCUGCAUGAAGGCGGAAUCGCUAGUAAUCGCCGGUCAGCAUACGGCGGUGAUACGUUCCCGGGCCUUGUACACACCGCCCGUCACACCAUGGGAGUUGGUCACGCCCGAAGUUGUUACCCU